RNAcentral lists this ribosomal RNA (450 nucleotides) under uncultured bacterium. Its description in RNAcentral is "partial 16S ribosomal RNA". It matches the Rfam family "Bacterial small subunit ribosomal RNA", at positions 354 to 796 of the family's 1533-position model. The record is from RNAcentral.
GUGGGGAAUAUUGGACAAUGGGCGAAAGCCUGAUCCAGCCAUGCCGCGUGUGUGAAGAAGGCCUUCGGGUUGUAAACUGCUUUUGUACGGAACGAAACGGUCCGGGUUAAUACCCUGGGCUAAUGACGGUACCGUAAGAAUAAGUACCGGCUAACUACGUGCCAGCAGCCGCGGUAAUACGUAGGGUGCAAGCGUUAAUCGGAAUUACUGGGCGUAAAGCGUGCGCAGGCGGGCUAUCAAGUCAGAGGUGAAAUCCCACAGCUUAACUGUGGAAAUGCCUUUGAAACUGAUGGUCUUGAAUUAAGUGGGCGGUGGCGGAAUAUGACAUGUAGCGGUGAAAUGCAUAGAUAUGUCAUGGAACACCGAAAGCGAAGGCAAUCCCCUGGGCCUGCACUGACGCUCAUGCACGAAAGCGUGGGGAGCAAACAGGAUUAGAUACCCUGGUAGUCC